This 255-nucleotide ribosomal RNA is filed under the name uncultured bacterium. Its description in RNAcentral is "partial 16S ribosomal RNA". It matches the Rfam family "Bacterial small subunit ribosomal RNA", at positions 524 to 776 of the family's 1533-position model. The record is from RNAcentral.
UACGAAGGGGGCUAGCGUUGCUCGGAAUCACUGGGCGUAAAGGGUGCGUAGGCGGGUCUUUAAGUCAGGGGGUGAAAUCCUGGAGCUCAACUCCAGAACUGCCUUUGAUACUGAAGAUCUUGAGUUCGGGAGAGGUGAGUGGAACUGCGAGUGUAGAGGUGAAAUUCGUAGAUAUUCGCAAGAACACCAGUGGCGAAGGCGGCUCACUGGCCCGAUACUGACGGCUGAGGCACGAAAGCGUGGGGAGCAAACAGG